CGGACGGGUGAGUAAUGUCUGGGAAACUGCCCGAUGGAGGGGGAUAACUACUGGAAACGGUAGCUAAUACCGCAUAACGUCGCAAGACCAAAGAGGGGGACCUUCGGGCCUCUUGCCAUCGGAUGUGCCCAGAUGGGAUUAGCUAGUUGGUGAGGUAACGGCUCACCAAGGCCACGAUGCAUAGCCGACCUGAGAGGGUGAUCGGCCACACUGGGACUGAGACACGGCCCAG
This 232-nucleotide ribosomal RNA is filed under the name uncultured bacterium. RNAcentral's name for it is "partial 16S ribosomal RNA". It matches the Rfam family "Bacterial small subunit ribosomal RNA", at positions 99 to 334 of the family's 1533-position model. The record is from RNAcentral.